CACACCCUGUAUAAUGUCUGAGCAGGUUUUCUGCAUAGUUGCCAGUGCUUAUUUUUACAAUCUCUAACAUAACAGCUUCAAAUAUAAACACAAACAUAGCCAGCAUGAACGACAGCAUCUGCAUUGGCCACGGAGCUAAAACAGGCUCUUAGAAAUGUGCUUGACAUUUCCCGUGGCAGCUUCACAGCCUCCUUGGAAAGCCUUGGUCCACCUCUCUGCUGCUGACAAGCUCUGAUUUGGAUGAAGAAAAGGAGGCUCAGAGAGUUUAAGAAACUUACCCUCCUCACACCAUGGAUAACAGGCAGAGCCAAAAGCAAAUGCAGAUGAAGACGUUGAUGCUCAAAAGUCGCUAAUGAGAAGCUGAGCCAAGAGUCAGAUCCAAAGUCCUUCCAGCUCUGAAGCCUGCAUUGUUUCCAACGCAUGAUGUUGUCUGAAUGGUGAGCAAUGGAAGACAGAAGAUACUAACAUGGUAGAAAUUAUCCUGAGUGGGGAGAGAGAAGGCCCUGGGGUGCUGCGAGUGUCCUGGGCAGGCAGCAGGGAGCCCCUUUAGCCCUGACUAGCUUGGUUGCAUUUCUGAUGGGUUUGACAUCAACAGGCUCUGCUGAGUCCCAAUUUGGCUAGGUACCACCACUUGUAGCACAGGGCAGAUCACUCCAAUGCCUGCAGCAUUCAUUUCUCAAUUUUCAAAUAAAACUAGCUUUGUUUGAAGGACAAAGUGAGAUGAUUUUUGACAGCACUGGGUAGAUGCAAUAACACUUUGC
This 761-nucleotide long non-coding RNA is filed under the name Homo sapiens (human). Its description in RNAcentral is "HSALNT0089624". The record is from RNAcentral. Lineage: Eukaryota; Metazoa; Chordata; Mammalia; Primates; Hominidae.